GUGUGGGGCUUUUACAAAUAUAAUCAAUUCCCCGAACAUGUUGACACCUCCGACUGACAAUAAGAAAAUGAGGCGGAAAUGAAAGAAUGACCGGCCACUUAGUUAUGAGUGGUGUUGCCAUCUUUGUGCUUAACUUGGGUAAUUAAUGGAAAUGUGGGUGCGUGUCGUAAAGUUAGUAUGAUACAACCCUGUGCUGCCGUGAGUUUGGCACGUAUGGGGCAUACAAAAAGAAAUGAUGAAGAAUGGAAAAUUGAGGGAAAAUUUGAAAGGAGGGAAAGUUAAUAUUGGCGUGUGUACCCGCGAUAUAAAAGGCUGCGACGGGAUAAUUGAGGUAGUUUUGUAAUGGUGAUUAGUCAAAAAGGAUUAACCUGUUUGUAACGAAGUCUCAGAAAAACAAUAAAAAUCGUAUAAAAGUCUACAUAAUAUAAUUUAUUAAAUAUAAUUGUUUUGUUUAAAAUAUAUUUUGUUGUGUUUCAUGUGUGUGCGUACAAUCCAAAAAGAAAGCGCCAAUCACAACCAGAUAUAUAUGGGCCUCCUCAAGAAGUGCAUGAGAGGAGGUCUGCUAUUUUUCCUUGGAGGAUUGGUUUUCCCCCAAUUUGAAGUUCCGCCUAUGCGUGCCGGGAUAAUUGUGGGCAACUAUAAACCCAUUGACCGUCAGUCCGUGUGGAGGCAGUCGGUUCCGGAUUGCCAUAUAUUUAAAGAGACGGAAACCAGGUAACUCCGAACCUCAACCAUUUGUUUAAUAUCCGAGUGCGAAAAGUAGGAGUACUAGGAAAGAAGUCCUGAAAGGAAAAUAGGAAAAGAAAACUUUUGAUUUAUUCAUUUAACUCAGCUUUUUAAAGAUAAGAAACCAUACUAAUCACUAUACAAAUACGAUAACAAAAAAAAAAAAAAAAAAAAAAAAAAAAAGGAUUCUCCAACGUAUAAAAAAUUAUCUGUGUAGUUAUAAGUAGACUAAUUAGUAGUUAGUGUGAAUAGUGUUUAAGUGUAUUGAUUUGUGAUGGGUUAUUAAUGCCAGACCGAUAUAGUAUAGGAGUGUAGGGUUACCCCUGGAUUACAGAUAGUCUUAAUUCGAAUUGUUGAAACCUAUGGGCCAAAGUGAAGAUGCCCUAAACCUACUAAAAGAGCUCUGUUAGGCAGGUGUGUAAAGUAAGCAGAAAGAAAAUGAUAGCCAGAGUGGGCUGAACAACUAUCAGUAACAUAAGGUAAUCCGAGUCAAUGACUCCAUCUAAACUUUCUUUUAUUUUGUAUGGGCGUUAAUGAUCCUAAUUAUAAUAUAAACCGAACCAAUGUUUUACCAUUAUUAUUAUUGUUAGGAUUAAAUAUACUGACUAUGUCAAUAAAUAUCUUUUUUUGUGUAAAAUCGUAAAUCACGUUAUGUUGUGCUAAAUUUAUGUGAGGGAGGAAGUUAGAGAUAUGCUGUAUUGAGGUAAGAGUGUUUGUGGAAAACGGGGCCUUUUAAAUAAGAAUACGUCUAGGGAAAGAAAAGGUCAAAGGUUGGGCGGGCUCAGUGUGGAAGCGUUCAUCAUCAAGCUUCCAUAUCAUAGAGGUAUGUCAAUUCAGUAAUCGUUUUGUUUUAUAUGUGUGUUAAGUACAAAAAAUGUAUAUUUAUUGUUCUUCCCCUUGUGCUAGUGGUGGUAGGGUUGGGAACCCCCUGAAGGUAGCCACCGUCUGAGCAAGUCGAACCCCACCAUAGCGCCACUGAAGGUGGAAUGCAACAAUAUGGCGCCCAAAUUUAAAUUACAAUACCUUAUCGCUUCUAUCUCAGGCAAGAUACCACCAACCUACAUAUACACACAAUUUAAAGGUGUCAAAUACAAUAAAAGGGUAUGCCAGAUAGGCGAUAAAAAAAUAAAUCGUGCAAUAACAGCGAAGCACGUUGCAAUAGCCAAUAGGGAACAAUAAUUUUAAACGAAUAUCACAUUUUCUAGACGAGCUAACAAAUAUUGCAGCCACUCUUUUUGUAAAAAACUGUGAUAUAAUGUGCAAUAUUUUGUUUAGAGAGUUAGAGAAUUAGGAUAGUUCGUUCCAUGUUAGUGUCAAGUUCAAUAUCUCUUGUUCGUUAAGUGUAACAAUGAAUGUAUUGUAUGUUUGACCGUUUUUAUGUUUUCGUCAUUUAAAAUUGUAUUAUUAGAGUAAAAUCAAUAGAUUAAGGAUAGCUAGGGAAAAGUUGCAAUAACUGAUAUGACGAUAUACGUCAUAUACUGUAUUGAAAAACAUUUCUCAAGUCGCGAGAUGAGAACUAUAGGAAACUG
Molecule: long non-coding RNA, 2255 nt
Organism: Musca domestica (house fly)
Lineage: Eukaryota; Metazoa; Arthropoda; Insecta; Diptera; Muscidae
Exons: 2
Source: RefSeq, a predicted model, not a curated record